CAGUAACUGAUAUAAUACGUUAAGUCAUUCAAACCACUGAUGCAAUGCAAUUGUUAGUAUUGCAGUACUACUAGUAAAACUAUUUAAAAUUUUAGGAUUUAUUUAUUGAUAAAUACUGAUUAUAAAUUAAAAACGGUACUUCUUUGUAUUGGUAGAAACUGCUAAUUAGGUGUUACCUGGAAUAUCGUGUGCAGUUCUUGUCUUAAGAGGAUAUUUACUUACCCGUUACCGGAGAGAGUUCAGAAGAGGACUCCUAAGAUGAUUCCAGGAAGGAAGCGUCAUGUUAUGAAAUAGUUACUUUAAAUGGACCUUGAAGAUGGAACUGUAGAUAUAAUGAUUCUGAUGACAAUGUAUAGACACAACUGUACCUUUCUCAAGAUUCAUGUAAAAAACAUGGUUGGAUUAUUUAAAGAUAACUUGGUGUAUAUGAACAUUUUGUGAUAUGCAUAUGAAGAUAUAUCUGUUUUGAAAACAUUGACUCUUUCACUUGUCUUGAAUAUUUAUGUAUGAAUAAUAUUAUUUUGCAAAUGAAAUGCUGUUUCAAACUAAUUUUCAGUAUAGAUUAUUAUCAAGAGUGUGGACUUGUGAAUAUGCAAAAAAAUGUAAUCAGCCUUUGUAUACAUUAACUAAAUGCAAAAAUAUGCAUCGAUAUUCAACUUGGUCAAAACACAUGAUUAAUUCAUCUGAACAAAAAAUGUAUUUUCUAAAACAAUAUGGAAAUAUUGUUAGUUACAGUUCUUGUUCAUUUAAUGUACUAGGUAAAGUAACCAAUAGUUUGGGGGAGCCUACUGAAGUUCUACAAUAUAAUUUUAAUGGUUAUCAAAAUGAUGCAAAUAAAGCUCUCAACAUCAAAAUGGAAUCAUCAAGGAAUUCUAAACUAGGUAAACAGUUUAGAAACUGUAAGUCUGUUGAUCAAGUGUUAGUUUUGUUUUCAAGUACAAAAGAGAAACUUAUAGUUGAAGAUUUUGUUGCUUGUUUGGAAACAUUAGGCCAUCUUUAUUUAAAACAGCUUAAAAUGUAUUCGUGGGCUUACUAUAAUAAUGAUAAACUUCUCUGGAUUCAGUCAGAUAUAAAUUAUGAAGCCAAAGAAAUGUUUGCAUCUAUUCUUUGUUGCCCAGAAUUUAAUGAAUUAUGUAGACUUCUGGAAGAUUUAAUUCACACGUUGUCUGAUUCUGAUUUAACUUCAGUAACACGUUCAUUAUUUUUUUUGCAUCCUUCUCAUGGAAAUCGGACUGUCAUGUGUCUUGUUAACGAGUGUCUGCUACGAUCAAGUAAUUUUGAUUUAGAAAACCUUGUGAGAUUUGCCGAGAUUGGAACCUUUCUUCGUCGUAAUGGUUUUCCAGUUUAUAGUAAAGUUUGCAAUAGGUUGACCCAAAUUUUGGAGGAAACACCCAUAAGUUCCAUAAACUUGGAGCACCUUGCAAUUGUAGUAAACAGUAUUGGUUAUUUCUGUUCAGAGAAAUUGUUAAAAUGCAUUUCUGGAAUAGUAGUGACCUCAGCUUUAAAAUCUAACUCUAACCUUAAUCCUUCAACCAUUCUUCUUUUCUUGGAAGUAAUUACUAGAUUUGUUUCUGUACCUGAUCAAAAUUUUCUGAAAGUUACUUGUGAUAUACUUUCAGACAAUAGUGAAAACUUGUAUACAUGGCAGUUAGGGACAGUUUUAAGAUUCCUAAGAGUUGCAAGAUUCCAAGAUGAUAAUUUAUUAAGAGUAAUAAGGAAAACUGGAUUAGAAAGACUUAAGCAAGGAUUAUUAAGAUCAAGCGAUUUAGUAAGUCUUUUAAAUCUUUUUGACCUAUGUGGAUGGAAUGAAGAACUUAGGACAGAAAUUGAAGAGUUACUUAUGCUACAUGUUCAGGAUUUUGAUGUUAUUCUUCUAAAGCAUUGUGCACAGAGCCAGUUCAUGAUACACUGUGAGAAUCAGCAGGUUUUGGACAAAUUUAGUGAUAGAGUCUUAACAAAACUUCCAGAUCUUCUGAAUGCAAUUUCUUGCCUACUGAAUGUUCUAAGUUUUUAUUCAAAAGCUCGUUACCAGAAUCCAGUCUUUCAUUCAGAGCUAUCUCAGUUUUUAUUGAAACAGAUACAGUCAAACCAAAUAACUUACCAGCCAAGUCAUCUAGCUGUUUUCUUUAAGUAUAUGCUAGCUUGCUUGAGCCAAAAGAGAGAACUUCCAACUGUAUUAAUGAGUGCUGUCUCCAAUAUGCUAUCACAGUUUGCCUUCACUGAUGUAAUUUCAAUAGCUAGGACAUUGAACUUCAAGACUGUGGUUGUGCCUUCCAACAGAUAUAGACAGAAUUUAUAUAUAUACAAGUCCCUUCAACAGUGUGUGCUUCAACAAUUGUCAGAAGUCCCAAACAUAAAUAUCUUAUGCAUGUUGAUAAAAGUUCUCUUUGUAAAAUCAAAUUUUGGCUACAGAUUUGAAUAUGCUGAAAUCACAAGAGCUUUUGAGGGUCUUAUAUCUACAGUAGAUGAUAAUAGUUUCAAUUCAGUACUUUUAAUACUUACAAGGCUGAAACUUUUUAUUCCAGAUGUAUUGGAACAUCUUGCUCAGUUUUGUCUGAAAAACCAGAGUUUAGAAAUGAUUUCUUUUAUGCUUCAAACAUGUGCCUUCUUUAACUUCAAUUCAGAGAAGAGUUGUUUGCUUGCUGAAGAAUGUCUAAAGAUGUUGGAAAUUAGUAGCACUUUAAAUUUAGUUGAAGUAUUAGGUAUUGUAUAUAGCCUUGCAGUGUUAGAGAUCUUUCCAAAAGAAAUUAUCAAGAAAAUAUUUUCUAUGGAUUUCCUGAGAAGGCUAGAUAACUUCUGUGAAAAUCACCCACGCUUGAAAUAUAGACUACAUGAACAGCUGGAAAUCUUGAAUCGUAUUGUAGCAUUAGAGUGUCCUGAAUUAGACAUUCCUUGGUUUCAUGAACACUUCUGUCAGGAAUUGAGCAUCAUUAAAGGUCCUAAGAUUACAACAGAGAGGAGAGAUAAUGUGUUAAAAGUUCUUCCAGAUGUCCUUGGAGGCCAAGAAUUUUAUAGAACCAAUCAAACAACACCAUAUUUUUAUGACAUAGAGUGGCUCUUGUAAUUCUUGAACCUCAUCACUACUGUGCCAAUGUUAACUGGAAGCUGGGGAAAACAGGUGUCAUGUUAAGACAUUUGGAAAUGCUGGGCUAUACAGUUGUGGAACUCCCUUAUAUGGAAUUGGAUUCUAUUAGUC
Molecule: unclassified non-coding RNA, 3196 nt
Filed under: Limulus polyphemus (Atlantic horseshoe crab)
Lineage: Eukaryota; Metazoa; Arthropoda; Merostomata; Xiphosura; Limulidae
Description: fAST kinase domain-containing protein 1, mitochondrial-like, transcript variant X8
Source: RNAcentral